RNAcentral lists this ribosomal RNA (739 nucleotides) under uncultured bacterium. RNAcentral describes it as "bacterial SSU rRNA". It matches the Rfam family "Bacterial small subunit ribosomal RNA", at positions 8 to 737 of the family's 1533-position model. The record is from RNAcentral.
AGAGUUUGAUCAUGGCUCAGGACGAACGCUGGCGGCGUGCCUAAUACAUGCAAGUCGAGCGGGCUUUGCCUUCGGGUAAAGCUAGCGGCGGACGGGUGAGUAACACGUAGGCAACCUGCCUGUAAGACCGGGAUAACUACCGGAAACGGUAGCUAAGACCGGAUAAGUGGUCUUCUCGCAUGAGAGGAUCAAGAAACACGGGGCAACCUGUGGCUUACAGAUGGGCCUGCGGCGCAUUAGCUAGUUGGUGGGGUAACGGCUCACCAAGGCGACGAUGCGUAGCCGACCUGAGAGGGUGAUCGGCCACACUGGGACUGAGACACGGCCCAGACUCCUACGGGAGGCAGCAGUAGGGAAUCUUCCGCAAUGGACGCAAGUCUGACGGAGCAACGCCGCGUGAGUGAUGAAGGUUUUCGGAUCGUAAAGCUCUGUUGCCAGGGAAGAACGUCGCGGAGAGUAACUGCUCUGCGAAUGACGGUACCUGAGAAGAAAGCCCCGGCUAACUACGUGCCAGCAGCCGCGGUAAUACGUAGGGGGCAAGCGUUGUCCGGAAUUAUUGGGCGUAAAGCGCGCGCAGGCGGCCGCUUAAGUCUGGUGUUUAAGCCCGGGGCUCAACCCCGGUUCGCACUGGAAACUGGGCGGCUUGAGUGCAGGAGAGGAAAGCGGAAUUCCACGUGUAGCGGUGAAAUGCGUAGAGAUGUGGAGGAACACCAGUGGCGAAGGCGGCUUUCUGGCCUGU